UCUGCCCUAGCGCUUAGAACAGUGCUUGGCACAUAGAAGCCCCAGAUUGGGCCUGAUCUGCUGCCCAGCGGCUUGGAGCCGAAGCACAUGACAACUUAAACUCACCUGGAGGAUUUCUCACCACCCUGGGGGAUGCUCAGGACUCUAAAAAUUCAUUUGGAUGGCUGCUCUUUUGGGAGAUUGUUUUUCCAACAAGGGAAACGUUUAAGAGCUUAGUUAAGCUUGGUCAACACCUCAUGGACUGACCAAACCCGUGAACUGGGAAUGAACUGAAAAUGAUGAAAUCCAGCCUGGGGCAGAUUCAGUGACCCGACGCUGCUACAGGUUGUGAUUCAUGUGCCGGAGUUCUUCUUGGGGGAAGACUCUGAGGUCGCCGGCCCAGCGGGGAAGCUCUGGUGACGGGCGGCUGGCGGAGAGAGGUCUCCUCGGACGGCUGCUCCGGAUUGAACGUGGGGGUCCCGGGGCCUCGGGAUUAAUGGCGGCCUCCACUGAUGGGGAGAAGGAGAGGGCCGGAAGAGAGGUUCGGUCAGCGCCGGGGUGGGAGCGAUCCUGAGAGCCUCCGGACUGGGGGUUCUCCGGUCUGCGACCUGCGGACCAUCUGCGGCCAUGCACAGGACUCAGGUAAACUCUUUCUGUCAUUCAAUCAUCCAUUCAAUCGUAUUUAUUGAGCGC
Molecule: long non-coding RNA, 672 nt
Organism: Ornithorhynchus anatinus (platypus)
Lineage: Eukaryota; Metazoa; Chordata; Mammalia; Monotremata; Ornithorhynchidae
Exons: 5
Source: RefSeq, a predicted model, not a curated record